GGUUACUGCUAUCGGUGUUCGCCUAAGCCAUGCGAGUCAUAUGUUCGUAAGAACAUGGCGUACUGCUCAGUAACACGUGGAUAACCUGCCCUUGGGUCCGGCAUAACCCCGGGAAACUGGGGAUAAUUCCGGAUAACGCACAUAUGCUGGAAUGCUUUUUGCGUAAAAUGGAUUCGUCUGCCCAAGGAUGGGUCUGCGGCCUAUCAGGUAGUAGUGGGUGUAAUGUACCUACUAGCCUACGACGGGUACGGGUUGUGAGAGCAAGAGCCCGGAGAUGGAUUCUGAGACAUGAAUCCAGGCCCUACGGGGCGCAGCAGGCGCGAAAACUUUACAAUGCGGGAAACCGUGAUAAGGGGACACCGAGUGCCAGCAUCCUAUGCUGGCUGUCCGGGUGUGUAAAAUACACCUGUUAGCAAGGGCCGGGCAAGACCGGUGCCAGCCGCCGCGGUAACACCGGCGGCCCGAGUGGUGAUCGUGAUUAUUGGGUCUAAAGGGUCCGUAGCCGGUUUGGUCAGUCCUCCGGGAAAUCUGACAGCUCAACUGUUAGGCUAUCGGAGGAUACUGCCAGACUUGGAACCGGGAGAGGUAAGAGGUACUACAGGGGUAGGAGUGAAAUCUUGUAAUCCCUGUGGGACCACCUGUGGCGAAAGCGUCUUACCAGAACGGGUUCGACGGUGAGGGACGAAAGCUGGGGGCACGAACCGGAUUAGAUACCCGGGUAGUCCCAGCCGUAAACGAUGCUCGCUAGGUGUCAGGCAUGGCGCGACCGUGUCUGGUGCCGCAGGGAAGCCGUGAAGCGAGCCACCUGGGAAGUACGGCCGCAAGGCUGAAACUUAA
RNAcentral lists this ribosomal RNA (837 nucleotides) under uncultured archaeon. Its description in RNAcentral is "bacterial SSU rRNA". It matches the Rfam family "Archaeal small subunit ribosomal RNA", at positions 21 to 859 of the family's 1478-position model. The record is from RNAcentral.